This 149-nucleotide non-coding RNA is filed under the name uncultured Desulfovibrio sp. Its description in RNAcentral is "FMN riboswitch (RFN element)". It matches the Rfam family "FMN riboswitch aptamer (RFN element)". Rfam says of the family: The RFN element is a highly conserved domain that is found frequently in the 5'-untranslated regions of prokaryotic mRNAs that encode for flavin mononucleotide (FMN) biosynthesis and transport proteins. This element is a metabolite-dependent riboswitch that directly binds FMN in the absence of proteins. In Bacillus subtilis, the riboswitch most likely controls gene expression by causing premature transcription termination within the 5' untranslated region of the ribDEAHT operon and precluding access to the ribosome-binding site of ypaA mRNA. Lineage: Bacteria; Pseudomonadati; Thermodesulfobacteriota; Desulfovibrionia; Desulfovibrionales; Desulfovibrionaceae. The record is from RNAcentral.
AUUCUCAGGGCGGGGUGAAAGUCCCCACCGGCGGUAAUGGGCAUGCCGUGCUGACGACAUGCCACAAGCCCGCGAGCGCCUUGCCGGGCAAGGGCAGCUGAUUCGGUGCGAUUCCGAAGCCGACGGUUACAGUCCGGAUGAAAGAGAAC